RNAcentral lists this ribosomal RNA (392 nucleotides) under uncultured bacterium. RNAcentral's name for it is "bacterial SSU rRNA". It matches the Rfam family "Bacterial small subunit ribosomal RNA", at positions 971 to 1425 of the family's 1533-position model. The record is from RNAcentral.
UUACCGGCUUGACAUAUAGAAACCUUUGAGAACAGGUGUUGCAUGGCUGUCGUCAGCUCGUGCCGUGAGGUGUUGGGUUAAGUCCCGUAACGAGCGAAACCCUAUUUUAGUUGCCAGCGUACGGGACUCUAGGAGACUGCCGUUGUCAAACGGAGGAAGGUGGGGACGACGUCAAGUCAUCAUGGCCCUUAUGCCGGGCUACAAACGUGCUACAAUGGCGUACAUGGGCCACCGCGAGGGUAGGAAUCCCAAAACGGCCCCAGUUCGGAUUGCAGGCUGAAAUUCGCCUGCAUGAAGCCGGAAUUGCUAGCAAUCGCGAUCAGCACGCGCGGUGAAUAUGUUCCUGAUCCUUGUACACACCGCCCGUCAAGCCACGGGAGCGGGAGGCUGAA